This 72-nucleotide transfer RNA is filed under the name Navicula ramosissima. RNAcentral's name for it is "tRNA-Met". It matches the Rfam family "tRNA". From Rfam's summary of the family: Transfer RNA (tRNA) molecules are approximately 80 nucleotides in length. Their secondary structure includes four short double-helical elements and three loops (D, anti-codon, and T loops). Further hydrogen bonds mediate the characteristic L-shaped molecular structure. tRNAs have two regions of fundamental functional importance: the anti-codon, which is responsible for specific mRNA codon recognition, and the 3' end, to which the tRNAs corresponding amino acid is attached (by aminoacyl-tRNA synthetases). tRNAs cope with the degeneracy of the genetic code in two manners: having more than one tRNA (with a specific anti-codon) for a particular amino acid; and 'wobble' base-pairing, i.e. permitting non-standard base-pairing at the 3rd anti-codon position. The record is from RNAcentral. Lineage: Eukaryota; Bacillariophyta; Bacillariophyceae; Naviculales; Naviculaceae.
AUCAGGAAGGUGUAAUGGUUACACGUCAGUCUCAUAAUCUGAAGUUAGUAGGUUCGAUUCCUGCUCCUGGUA